This 259-nucleotide ribosomal RNA is filed under the name uncultured prokaryote. RNAcentral describes it as "partial 16S ribosomal RNA". It matches the Rfam family "Bacterial small subunit ribosomal RNA", at positions 524 to 782 of the family's 1533-position model. The record is from RNAcentral.
UACGGAGGAUCCUAGUGUUAUCCGGAUUUAUUGGGUUUGAAGGGAGCGUAGGCGGGAGGUCAAGUCAGCUGUGAAAUGUAUCUGCUUAACGGGUACACUGCAGUUGAAACUGGUUUUCUUGAGUGCGUAAGAGGCAGGCGGAAUUCGUUGUGUAGCGGUGAAAUGCUUAGAUAUGACGAGGAACUCCUAUUGCGAAGGCAGCUUGCUGGGUCGUUACUGACGCUGAUGCUCGAAGGUGCGGGGAUCAAACAGGAUUAGA